GCAAGUCGAACGAAGUCUUCGGACUUAGUGGCGGACGGGUGAGUAACACGUGGGAACGUGCCUUUAGGUUCGGAAUAACUCAGGGAAACUUGUGCUAAUACCGAAUGUGCCCUUCGGGGGAAAGAUUUAUCGCCUUUAGAGCGGCCCGCGUCUGAUUAGCUAGUUGGUGAGGUAAAGGCUCACCAAGGCGACGAUCAGUAGCUGGUCUGAGAGGAUGAUCAGCCACAUUGGGACUGAGACACGGCCCAAACUCCUACGGGAGGCAGCAGUGGGGAAUCUUGCGCAAUGGGCGAAAGCCUGACGCAGCCAUGCCGCGUGAAUGAUGAAGGUCUUAGGAUUGUAAAAUUCUUUCACCGGGGACGAUAAUGACGGUACCCGGAGAAGAAGCCCCGGCUAACUUCGUGCCAGCAGCCGCGGUAAUACGAAGGGGGCUAGCGUUGCUCGGAAUUACUGGGCGUAAAGGGAGCGUAGGCGGACAUUUAAGUCAGGGGUGAAAUCCCGGGGCUCAACCUCGGAAUUGCCUUUGAUACUGGGUGUCUUGAGUGUGAGAGAGGUAUGUGGAACUCCGAGUGUAGAGGUGAAAUUCGUAGAUAUUCGGAAGAACACCAGUGGCGAAGGCGACAUAC
This 626-nucleotide ribosomal RNA is filed under the name uncultured bacterium. RNAcentral describes it as "bacterial SSU rRNA". It matches the Rfam family "Bacterial small subunit ribosomal RNA", at positions 57 to 729 of the family's 1533-position model. The record is from RNAcentral.